CAGUAGCCGCGGGAAAACGUAGGGUGCGAGCGUUAAUCGGAAUUACUGGGCGUAAAGCGUGCGCAGGCGGUUGUGUAAGACAGGUGUGAAAUCCCCGGGCUUAACCUGGGAACUGCGCUUGUGACUGCACAGCUAGAGUAUGGCAGAGGGGAGUGGAAUUCCACGUGAAGCAGUGAAAUGCGUAGAGAUGUGGAGGAACACCGAUGGCGAAGGCAGCCCCCUGGGCCAAUACUGACGCUCAUGCACAAAAGCGUGGGGAGCAAACAGGAUUAGAUACCCCCGUAGUCCCUGUCUCUUAUAC
RNAcentral lists this ribosomal RNA (301 nucleotides) under uncultured bacterium. Its description in RNAcentral is "partial 16S ribosomal RNA". It matches the Rfam family "Bacterial small subunit ribosomal RNA", at positions 509 to 807 of the family's 1533-position model. The record is from RNAcentral.